RNAcentral lists this ribosomal RNA (445 nucleotides) under uncultured Alteromonadaceae bacterium. RNAcentral's name for it is "bacterial SSU rRNA". It matches the Rfam family "Bacterial small subunit ribosomal RNA", at positions 1083 to 1532 of the family's 1533-position model. The record is from RNAcentral. Lineage: Bacteria; Pseudomonadati; Pseudomonadota; Gammaproteobacteria; Alteromonadales; Alteromonadaceae.
AGUCCGCACGAGCGCACCCUUGUCCUUAGUUGCCAGCAUUCAGUUGGGCACUCUAAGGAGACUGCCGGUGACAAACCGGAGGAGGGUGGGGACGACGUCAAGUCAUCAUGGCCCUUACGUGUAGGGCUACACACGUGCUACAAUGGCAUUUACAGAGGGAAGCGAGACAGUGAUGUGGAGCGGACCCCUUAAAGAAUGUCGUAGUCCGGAUUGGAGUCUGCAACUCGACUCCAUGAAGUCGGAAUCGCUAGUAAUCGCAGGUCAGAAUACUGCGGUGAAUACGUUCCCGGGCCUUGUACACACCGCCCGUCACACCAUGGGAGUGGGAUGCAAAAGAAGUAGUUAGUCUAACCUUCGGGAGGACGAUUACCACUUUGUGUUUCAUGACUGGGGUGAAGUCGUAACAAGGUAACCCUAGGGGAACCUGGGGUUGGAUCACCUCCUU